UGGUUCUCUCCGAAAUGCAUUUAGGUGCAGCCUAUAAACAAGAUCCCAUAGAGGUAGAGCUCUGAUAAGGCUAGGGGUGUCGAGAGACAUUACCAAACCUUGUUAAACUUCGAAUGCUAUAAGGAAUAAUACAGAGUGAGACUGCGGGGGCUAAGCUUCGUAGUCGAAAGGAUAACAGUCCAGAUUUCUAACUAAGGUCCCUAAAUUAUAGUUAAGUGGCAAAGGAGGUGUCUUUGCUUAAACAUCCAGGAGGUUUGCUUAGAAGCAGCAAUCCUUUAAAGAAAGCGUAACAGCUCACUGGACUAGCGAAGAUGCGCCGAAAAUGUAACGGGGCUCAAACUAUAUACCGAAGUUGAAAACCACCUGACUAUGUCAGGUAGGUGGUAGGAGAGUGUCCUGCACGCACUGAAGGUGUUGUGAAAACAAUGCUGGAGCUUGCAGGAGCAACAAUGCUGACAUGAGUAACGUCGUAUGAUGAAAAUUCAUACCGCCGAAUUCCUAAGAAUUCCUACGCAACGUUCAUCGUCGUAGGGUUAGUCGGGACCUAAGGUUAAUCCGGAAACGGAGUGCCGAUGGAUAGCUGGUUAAUAUUCCAGCACCUAUUUAUACAGUGAUGUGGUGACGCAUCGAGAUUUGUAAGAGCUUGCUAAGGAUGUGAGUUGAACAAGCAAGACCAGUCUGAUUUAUCAGACAGGCAGAGGCAGGCAAAUCCGCCUUUGUUGACGUCGAGCUUUAUCAGGAAGGAUCCCUUCGGGGUGAAUUAUUCUUAUCGUUUCGGUGCCAAGAAAAACCACUAAACUUAUGUAUAAGUAGCCCGUAUUCAGAUCUAACACUAGUAGGAAGGUAGAGAAUACCAAGGCGAUCGAGAUAACUAAUGAUUAAGGAACUUGGCAAAUCAGCGGGCGUAAGUUCGCAAUAAGCCCUGCCUACAGCAAUGUAGGCCGCAGCAAAUGACAUGGGGGGGACUGUUUAUCAAAAACACAGCUCUCUGCUAACUCGUAAGAGGAUGUAUAGAGGGUGAUGCCUGUCCAAUGCCAGAAUGUUACGCUUUCUUGUUUACGCUCGAAAGUUAAGCACUGGUGAAUGACGGCCGUAACUAUGACGGUCCUAAGGUAGCGAAAUUCCUUGUCGGGUAAGUUCCGACGCGCAUGAAUGGCACAACCAUCUCCACACUGUCUUAAUCUUAGACUCGGUGAAAUUACAUUCCCGGUAAAAAUGCCGGGUAGUUGCAGUUAGACGGAAAGACCCUGUGAAGCUUUACUGUAAAUUGAUAUUGGGCUGUAGUAUGUGUUGCUCAGCAUAAGUGGGAGACUUUGAUGUUUGGACUUUGGUCUGGGCGGAGUCACCAAUGAGAUACCACUCACUACAUAUAGCAUCUCUAAUCCCGCAACAACGGGAAACAGUGUCAGUUGGUCAGUUUACCUGGGGCGGGUGCCUCCUAAAAAGUAACGGAGGCGUACAAAGGUUUGCUUGCUACGGAUGGAAACCGUGGUGGACGUAUAUUAGCAAAAGCAAGCUUAACUGUGAGACUAACAGGUCGAACAGAUACGAAAGUAGGUUAAAGUGAUCCGGAUCUUCCAUGUGGAAGGGGAUCCGCUCAACGGAUAAAAGUUACUCCGGGGAUAACAGGCUAAUGGAAUCUAAGCGUUCACAGCGACGAUUCCGUUUGGCACCUCGAUGUCGGCUCGUCGCAUCCUGGGGCUGUAGAAGGUCCCAAGGGUUGGGCUGUUCGCCCAUUAAAGCGGGACGCGAGUUGGGUUCAGAACGUCGUGAGACAGUUCGGUCCCUAUCUACUGUAACCGCAAGCAAUUUGAGAGAACCUGUCCCUAGUACGAGAGGACCGGGAUGGACAAGCCUCUAGUUGACCAGUUGUCACGCCAGUGGCACGGCUGGGUAGCUACGCUUGGAAUAGAUAACCACUGAAAGCAUCUAAGUGGGAAACUUGCCUCAAGAUUAGAUUGCUCUCUCUUCGGAGUUAAGAUCCCCUGUAGACUACAGGGUUGAUAGGUGUCAUGUGGAAGUCCAGUAAUGGAUUGAGCAGAGACAUACUAAUAGAUCGAGUGGAAUUUGU
Molecule: ribosomal RNA, 2071 nt
Filed under: metagenome
Description: bacterial LSU rRNA
Rfam family: Bacterial large subunit ribosomal RNA
Source: RNAcentral